CUAUUUCUAAUAUUUGAACACACAAGGAAAUUAUAAUUUCCUCCUUCACCUUAUCGGUCUCUUCCUUACAACAAUUCAGUCAUACCAAUAACUACUACUUCCACCAAUAUAUUCACCCUCAUAAUCUCCAACUGUAAUACUGUGCCCUCACAGUUUUCAGCACACAAUUAUCCUCGUUCCAAUCACUGGAAUUCUUCACACAAAAUUGUCAUUCAUAUUACAGUGUUUCACACAAACACAGACUCAAUCUCUCUGCUGAACUACAAUCAGAUUUCAGCAUUCAAUCUUUCUUUUUCUCAAAUAAUACCAAUCACAUUUCUAUUCCAUAAUUCACUUCACAAUAUUCAGAAACUUUCAAUCAUCUUAUUCAAAGAAAAUAACAAACAAAAGAAAAGAGGUAGCACCAAGCUUAUCCCGGCUCACGACUCUCACAGUCUGGCCCUCGCCUCAUAACUCUCACAGUCUGGCCCUCGGCUCACAACUCUCA
RNAcentral lists this long non-coding RNA (487 nucleotides) under Physcomitrium patens. RNAcentral's name for it is "long non-coding RNA (PPAT_LNC001346)". The record is from RNAcentral. Lineage: Eukaryota; Viridiplantae; Streptophyta; Bryopsida; Funariales; Funariaceae.